ACGGGAGGCAGCAGUGAGGAAUAUUGGUCAAUGGAGGCAACUCUGAACCAGCCAUCUCGCGUGAAGGAAUACGGCCCUACGGGUCUUAAACUUCUUUUAUAGGGGGAUAAAGUGAGAUAUGUAUAUCUUUUUGUAGGUACCCUAUGAAUAAGCAUCGGCUAACUCCGUGCCAGCAGCCGCGGUAAUACGGAGGAUGCGAGCGUUAUCCGGAUUUAUUGGGUUUAAAGGGUGCGCAGGCGGCCCGUUAAGUCAGCGGUGAAAUGUCGGGGCUCAACCCGGGCACUGCCGUUGAAACUGGGGGGCUUGAGUACGGAUGAGGUCGGCGGAAUGUGACGUGUAGCGGUGAAAUGCAUAGAUAUGUCACAGAACACCGAUUGCGAAGGCAGCCGGCCAAUCCGCAACUGACGCUCAUGCACGAAAGCGUGGGGAUCGAACAGGAUUAGAUACCCUGGUA
RNAcentral lists this ribosomal RNA (454 nucleotides) under uncultured Parabacteroides sp. RNAcentral describes it as "partial 16S ribosomal RNA". It matches the Rfam family "Bacterial small subunit ribosomal RNA", at positions 341 to 792 of the family's 1533-position model. Lineage: Bacteria; Pseudomonadati; Bacteroidota; Bacteroidia; Bacteroidales; Tannerellaceae. The record is from RNAcentral.